ACGGAAGGCAGCAGUCGGGAAUAUUGCGCAAUGGAGGAAACUCUGACGCAGUGACGCCGCGUAUAGGAAGAAGGUUUUCGGAUUGUAAACUAUUGUCGUUAGGGAAGAUACAAGACAGUACCUAAGGAGGAAGCCCCGGCUAACUCUGUGCCAGCAGCCGCGGAAAUACAUAGGUGGCAAGCGUUAUCCGGAUUUAUUGGGUGUAAAGGGUGCGUAGACGGAGAAGCAAGUUGGUUGUGAAAUCCCUCGGCUCAACUGAGGAACUGCAACCGAAACUACUUCCCUUGAGUGUCGGAGGGGUAAGUGGAAUUCCUAGUGUAGCGGUGAAAUGCGUAGAUAUUAGGAGGAACACCGGUGGCGAAGGCGACUUUCUGGACGAUAACUGACGUUGAGGCUCGAAAGUGUGGGGAGCAAACAGGAUUAGAUACCCUGGUA
Molecule: ribosomal RNA, 435 nt
Filed under: uncultured Oscillospiraceae bacterium
Lineage: Bacteria; Bacillati; Bacillota; Clostridia; Eubacteriales; Oscillospiraceae
Description: partial 16S ribosomal RNA
Rfam family: Bacterial small subunit ribosomal RNA
Source: RNAcentral